This 1288-nucleotide long non-coding RNA is filed under the name Capra hircus (goat). RNAcentral's name for it is "lncRNA (ENSCHIG00010016293.1)". Lineage: Eukaryota; Metazoa; Chordata; Mammalia; Artiodactyla; Bovidae. The record is from RNAcentral.
UGGGGUCACAAAGAGUCAGACACGACUGAGCGACUUUCACUUCACUUCAUAAAAAUGUGAAAAUGAGGGGAUUUUCAAGGUGGAUGAACCCUUGCCAAAACAGAGCCAGGAACACAAGCCAGAGAGGCUGACGGUCGCCCCGUCCUAAGGGAAGGACCUCGAGACCCCGGGGAGGCGACUGUCUCACGCCAGGGCUCUGGUCCGGCCACCACGUUCAUCUCAUUUCGGUCAGGAUCCUAUUUGGCCAGCACCCUGUGAUCACGACCGUCUGUCGGAGGGAUGGGGACGUGGCCCAAGGAUCCGCUGCUCCCAGGGGAUGGGGGCCUGCACCCCAGAGCAAGGGUCCAGGCCGGCUGCCUCUCCCCCGAGCUGGCUCCGUCACCACUGCCUCCUGGUCUCCCCUGGGGCGAGGGGGCAGCCCCCUGGGGCGCAUUUCGGGUGGGCUACAGAGAUCGCUGUCACUGCCAGGAUUCUGACAGGAUGUCCACGGUGUGUCUAAUAUGUACAGAUAUAAAUUAAAAACUAUACUUACUGAACAUAUACAAAUAAAUAACUUAUUUUGAAGCAAAUGCCUUAACUUUCUGAUUGAAUCUAAGAUGUCGAGGGAAACGCAUGACAUCACACAGCCUGACGCUGGUGGCUUUGACCCCCACGGCGCCCGUUUUACGUGGCUGCGGGGAACGAGACAGGGUUGAAUCCUCCGUUCUCUUUAAAAGGCUUAUGGUUGUGAAAGUGAAUUUAAAAACGUGGGUUUUUUUAGGCAGGAAAUACGUACACCAGGAGUCUGAAGACCAGGGCCCAAAUCCUGCCUCUGGUACCAAUCGCUGUCCUCGGGUGCCACCCACAGAGAUGGUCGCGGCGACUGCUGCCAACCGGCCCACAGCUGGUUGACUCCGCCCACCUGCGCCAGGCUAAGAUCACCUUCUCCCUUCUCAGUCAGUAAUGAUCGGAGCCUGACUGUCCUCUUGGACAAAGCCGGCUACCAAUCAGAGGAGCCGGACAGCCACGAUGGAGAACGCUCACUUGACCGCAAGGCAGCGGGAAUCUAUAGUGGCUCACAGUUUAUGGGAACUCAGCUUCAUAUGACGUCAUGUGGUCCAGCCUCCUGCGUGGAUGGGAGAACAGGGGGAGCAGCGCUGGGGAGAUGGGCUCCGCACUUCCUGCCUGGAUUUCCUGGGGUCGGGGCCACAGGUAUGGGCGAGACGCGCCCCCACCCGCCGUAUCAACUACGGAGGAUGAACCUGAGUGUUGGGAGCCAGGUGGCAGCUCGCAGACCAGACAGCCGGCU